This 2033-nucleotide ribosomal RNA is filed under the name metagenome. RNAcentral's name for it is "bacterial LSU rRNA". It matches the Rfam family "Bacterial large subunit ribosomal RNA", at positions 1 to 1977 of the family's 2925-position model. The record is from RNAcentral.
GCAAGAUACCACGGGCGCACGGCGGAUGCCUUGGCACAGGGAGCCGAUGAAGGACGCGGCAAGCUGCGAUAAUCCCCGGCGAGGAGCACACAUCCUUCGACCCGGGGGUCUCCGAAUGGGCGAACCCAUCCACAGCAGUGUGGAUAUCCCCACCCCGAACACAUAGGGGUGGGGAGGACAACCCGGGGAACUGAAACAUCUAAGUACCCGGAGGAGAGGAAAUCAAUCUCGAGACUCCCCGAGUAGCGGCGAGCGAAAGGGGACCGAUGGCCAAACCGUCGAGCGGGCAUACCCGGCAGGGGUUCCGCCGACGGGGUUGCAGGGCCGCGCAUCCGGGGGCUGCCGCCCCCGGGCGCAGGUCCGGCUGGGGAGCGGAACGGCAUGGGAGGGCCGGCCGCAGCGGGUGACAGCCCCGUACGCGAACCCAGACCGGACGGCGCGACGCGGUCCCUGAGUAGGGCCGGGCACGUGAAACCCGGUCCGAACCUGGGUGGACCACCAUCCAAGCCUGAGUACUACCCUGUGACCGAUAGCGCACCAGUACCGUGAGGGAAAGGUGAAAAGCACCCCGGGAGGGGAGUGAAACAGUACCUGAAACCGUGCGCCCACGAGCAGUCGGAGCACCUAUACGGUGUGACGGCGUGCCUUUUGUAGAAUGAGCCAGCGAGUCGCUGGCGCGGGGCGAGGUUAACCGAAAGGGAGCCGUAGCGAAAGCGAGCCUUAACAGGGCGACUUGAGUCCCGCGCCGCGGACGCGAAGCCGGGUGAGCUAUCCGUGGGCAGGCUGAAGCGGGGGUAAGACCCCGUGGAGGGCCGAACGCACGUCGGUUGAAAACGGCGGCGAUGACCUGCGGAUAGGGGUGAAAGGCCAAUCAAACCCGGAGAUAUCUCGUUCUCCCCGAAAUAGCUUUAGGGCUAGCGUCGCGCGUUCACCGCCGGAGGUAGAGCACCGGAUGGACGAGGGGGCUUCGCCGCCUACCGAAUCCAACCGAACUCCGAAUGCCGGCGGCCCAGAGCGCGGCAGUCAGAGCAUGUGGGCUAAGCUGUGUGCUCGAGAGGGAAACAGCCCGGACCGCCCGCUAAGGUCCCCAAGUUCCAGCCGAGUGGCAAAGGAUGUGCGUCCGCCCAGACAACCAGGAUGUUGGCUUAGAAGCAGCCAUGCAUUCAAAGAGUGCGUAACAGCUCACUGGUCGAGUGGACAUGCGCCGACAAUACACGGGGCUAAGCUGGACACCGAAGCGGCGGGAUUUUAUUUCAUAGAAUCGGUAGGGGAGCUUCCCAUGGGCGGGGAAGCCGCCGGGCGACCGGCGGUGGAGCGCAUGGGAGUGAGAAUGCUGGCAUGAGUAGCGAGAGACGAGAGAGUAACUCGUCCGCCGUGAACCCGAGGUUUCCUGGGCAAGGCUAAUCCUCCCAGGGUCAGUCGGGGGCUAAGGCGAGGCCGGGAGGCGUAGCCGACGCGCAGCAGGCAGACAUUCCUGCACCGCGCACGCGGCGCUACGACCGACGGGGCGACGGAUGGGGGUGGCUCGGCGGGGUUCUGGACGUCCCCGUGAUGGAGCGCGGCCCGCGGACCAGGGAAAUCCGGUCCGCACGAGGGCGAGGCUCCGGACGAAGCGAUCAAGCGAAGCGAGUGAGCCCGAGGUCCCUAGAAAAACCCCUAGGCAGGCGCGUGCGCGCCCGUACCGCAAACCGACACAGGUGGGUGGGUAGAACAUACCGAGGCGAUCGGGUCAACCAUGGUCAAGGAACUCGGCACAAUGGCCCCGUAACUUCGGGAGAAGGGGUGCCCGCGCGUACGUGAACGGACUUGCUCCGGGAGCGGAGGCGGGCCGCAGUGGAGAGGCCCAAGCGACUGUUUACCAAAAACACAGGACUCUGCAGAAGCCGCAAGGCGACGUAUAGGGUCUGACGCCUGCCCGGUGCCGGAAGGUCACGCGGAGGAGUUAGCGCAUCGCGCGAAGCCCCGAAGCCAAGCCCCGGUAAACGGCGGCCGUAACUAUAACGGUCCUAAGGUAGCGAAAUUCCUUGUCGGGU